UUAAUUGAAACCAAAAUAGAGGUAUAUUACUGUUAAUAAUAUUAUUGAAAUCCCUUUCCAAUUAAG
Molecule: transfer RNA, 66 nt
Filed under: Phaneroptera nigroantennata
Lineage: Eukaryota; Metazoa; Arthropoda; Insecta; Orthoptera; Tettigoniidae
Description: tRNA-Asn
Source: RNAcentral